CCUACGGGGGGCAGCAGUGGGGAAUAUUGGACAAUGGGGGCAACCCUGAUCCAGCCAUGCCGCGUGUGUGAAGAAGGCCCUCGGGUUGUAAAGCACUUUCAGUGAGGAAGAACGCCUGGUGGUUAAUACCCAUCAGGAAAGACAUCACUCACAGAAGAAGCACCGGCUAACUCCGUGCCAGCAGCCGCGGUAAUACGGAGGGUGCGAGCGUUAAUCGGAAUUACUGGGCGUAAAGCGCGCGUAGGUGGCUUGAUAAGCCGGUUGUGAAAGCCCCGGGCUCAACCUGGGAGCGGCAUCCGGAACUGUCAAGCUAGAGUGCAGGAGAGGAAGGUAGAAUUCCCGGUGUAGCGGUGAAAUGCGUAGAGAUCGGGAGGAAUACCAGUGGCGAAGGCGGCCUUCUGGACUGACACUGACACUGAGGUGCGAAAGCGUGGGUAGCAAACAGGAUUAGAUACCCUGGUAGUC
This 465-nucleotide ribosomal RNA is filed under the name Vreelandella stevensii. Its description in RNAcentral is "partial 16S ribosomal RNA". It matches the Rfam family "Bacterial small subunit ribosomal RNA", at positions 338 to 795 of the family's 1533-position model. Lineage: Bacteria; Pseudomonadati; Pseudomonadota; Gammaproteobacteria; Oceanospirillales; Halomonadaceae. The record is from RNAcentral.